This 72-nucleotide transfer RNA is filed under the name Camelus bactrianus (Bactrian camel). It matches the Rfam family "tRNA". Rfam says of the family: Transfer RNA (tRNA) molecules are approximately 80 nucleotides in length. Their secondary structure includes four short double-helical elements and three loops (D, anti-codon, and T loops). The record is from Rfam by way of RNAcentral. Lineage: Eukaryota; Metazoa; Chordata; Mammalia; Artiodactyla; Camelidae. RNAcentral also lists the same sequence under 2 other names.
GAGGGCAUAGCUCAGUGGAAGAGCGCGUGCUUAGCAUGCACAAGUUCCUGGGUUCACUUUCCAGCACCUCCA